ACUUAGGUGAAGAGUUCUCCGUUUUUUCCCUUUGGGAGAGAAGGGAACAAACACUUGAGCUAUUCCAGAUAUACUAACAUAUUAUUAUAUUUAAUCCCACAACAAUCCUAUAAAUAAAAAAAUCUCCAUUUUACAGGUGAAAACACUGAGGCUCAAAGCGAAUAACCUGUCCCAGGUCAGAUGGCCAGGAAAAAUGAAGCCUUAUUCCAGGGGAGGAGAGAAUCCUAGAUUAGUGACAGCAGCAUAGCUUCUUACAUUGUGGUUCGGCAGCUAGAGUGCUUCUUCUUGAGGACCUGCAGAUGAGCUGGUAUAAAGGGAUCCUUCAGAGCCAGGUUCGUGUCACGAAAUUGAGCAUAGGUUAGUUUGAAAAACACUAACCUUUAUUUUAGAUUUAUCGG
RNAcentral lists this long non-coding RNA (398 nucleotides) under Equus caballus (horse). Its description in RNAcentral is "lncRNA (ENSECAG00000051316.1)". Lineage: Eukaryota; Metazoa; Chordata; Mammalia; Perissodactyla; Equidae. The record is from RNAcentral.